ACAGAGCCUCUACCAAUGGUGCCUACUCGUAUAUAUGUACCUUGAGGUCCUCUUAUGCCGCCAAGUUGUGCCUCAUAAUUAUCAUACUCUCGUAAUGUCCCACAUCCACCGCAAUACGAAUUCCCCGUGUCUUCGUCGCGUUCAAAGUUGCUUCCAUUGCAUCUCUUGCAACGCAUGAUUCAAACCGAAAGCUUCACACUUUAAAUUACGGGUUUUUUUUUCCGACAAGCAGAAGAAUGAGAUUCGGAUCGCCGGCGAAUCGAGAAGUACUGGAGAGAGAAAUCAAAACUAAUUAAGAUUUGACCUUUCCUUAAAAAUAAGCUAGGUUUUUAUAUUGUCGAGAUG
Long non-coding RNA from Arabidopsis thaliana (thale cress), 345 nucleotides. RefSeq annotates it as other RNA. The transcript has a single exon. NCBI's taxonomy places the organism in Eukaryota, Viridiplantae, Streptophyta, Magnoliopsida, Brassicales, Brassicaceae. The record is from RefSeq.